Molecule: ribosomal RNA, 414 nt
Filed under: uncultured prokaryote
Description: bacterial SSU rRNA
Rfam family: Bacterial small subunit ribosomal RNA
Source: RNAcentral
UGAGGAAUUUUGCGCAAUGGGCGAAAGCCUGACGCAGCGACGCCGCGUGGAGGAAGACGGCCUUCGGGUUGUAAACUCCUGUCAGGGGGGAAGAAACUUCGCAAGAAGCUGACGGUAACCCCAGAGGAAGCCCCGGCUAACUACGUGCCAGCAGCCGCGGUAAUACGUAGGGGGCAAGCGUUGCUCGGAAUUACUGGGCGUAAAGGGUGUGUAGGUGGCUGAUUAAGUUAAGGAUGAAAUCCCGAGGCUCAACUUCGGAACUGUCCUUGAUACUGGUCAGCUUGAGGCUAGUAAAGGAGAGCGGAAUUCCUGGUGUAGAGGUGAAAUUCGUAGAUAUCAGGAGGAACACCGGUGGCGAAGGCGGCUUUCUGGCCCUAUACUGACGCUGAGACGCGAGAGCGUGGGUAGCAAACA